This 5019-nucleotide unclassified non-coding RNA is filed under the name Anneissia japonica. RNAcentral describes it as "gTP-binding protein 1-like, transcript variant X3". Lineage: Eukaryota; Metazoa; Echinodermata; Crinoidea; Comatulida; Comatulidae. The record is from RNAcentral.
CGAGUGCAAACGCGACCUGGGGAUAACAAUUAUGAAGAUGAGAAUCUUGUUUUGUCGGUACUGCUUAGGUUAAAUUUUCUGCAACUUUCAGUAGAUUGCAUCAUCAGUUACUAUAAAAAGAAGAACAAGCCGCACGGCAGAGUAUUUUGAUGCAAACCUACUACCUAGUUAUCCAGGUCAUUGUUCAAUGGAAUAAGUUAACAGCUGGCUAGCUACCUACUACUAGGCCUAUCGCAUGAGUGAGAUGUAAUCUUCGCAGCGUCGGCUGUACUCAUCCUGCAUACGUGGUUUCAAGGUUGCCCUCUCGACAGCAGCCUAGGCCGGAGCCUAGCCUAGCUAGCUAGGUUUACUCUUUAAUGAAGUAAUACUUUUAUUAGCAGAAAAAAUACACGAAAUUUGUUUAGUGUGUACGUAAAAUUUCAUUGUUAACUGUUGACAAUUGGUUGCUAACAAAUUAUUAAGCAGAACAAAACAGGAGCCUGAAUUGAAUGAAGUUGAACCAUGAUUUAACUCAGACUGAAUUGACGUUUGUGUGAUUAAAGACUGACUAUUUAAGUCUAUGGGAGUGCAUCGCCAACUGAGGUUGUUUCGGACGAUAUAUUUUACAAUAUUUUGCUUCAAAUGUAGGACGUUCUAAAGCAAUUCUGAAUAGGUGAUUAUUAUAGAACUAAGGCCUAUCAAUAUCAUUACAUUGUUAAUUCUUCUACUAUUCUACAUCAAGCAUUUUUCAUCAACAAGCAGCUGAUUUAAAUUAUAAAUAUCCUAGGCCCCACCUGUUCUACAUUCAAAAUGUGUGCAGCAAUUGUAACUAACUUUAUGCCAGACUCGAUGAGUCCAGAACUUCUGCAGUCCCCAACAACUCCAGACAUGCCCGAGAAGGCGGCUAGCCUCUUUGCUCCUGAUGACGCUGAUCUUGUUGGCAAAGACAGCCAUAUAUUGGCACAAAAUUCUUCUAAGACACGAUUUGUUAGUCCAAGUGAGGAGAUAUUCGAUCACCUGAAAAAACAAUUGGAGCAGCGACUGUGUGACGGCAAUGGCGAGGCCAUAUAUGAACUCGGACAAGGAGGAGAUGGAACUGAAGACGGCCUAUCAGAAGAAGACAUGGCAGCGUCCAUAGCAACAUUAAAAAGCAUGGCAGAGACUCUGAAUGCAGAUGUGGUGUUGCUACGGGAACGCCAAGUGAACAGCAAGGCAGUCCAAGAGCUUCUCAUCAGGGCAAGAGCAGAAGAGGAGGAUUUUCUAGAAGUCAGAGUUGCUGUUGUCGGUAAUGUUGAUGCUGGUAAGAGCACUCUCCUCGGCGUCCUCACCCACGGGGAGCUAGACAAUGGUAGAGGAUUGGCACGACAGCGGCUGUUCCGGCACAAACACGAGAUGGAGUCAGGACGGACCAGCAGUGUGGGCAAUGACAUCCUUGGCUUUGAUAGCCAAGGACAAGUUGUAAACAAGCCAGAUUCUCACGGUGGUAAUUUGGAUUGGGUUCGAAUCUGCGAAGAAUCUUCUAAAGUGAUUACUUUCAUAGAUUUAGCUGGACAUGAGAAAUACUUGAAAACUACUGUUUUUGGAAUGACCGGGCAUGUACCUGACUUUGGCAUGCUGAUGAUUGGAAGCAAUGCUGGUAUUAUAGGAAUGACCAAAGAGCAUCUUGGGCUAGCAUUAGCGUUGAAUGUUCCCAUUUUUGUUGUAGUAACCAAGAUUGAUAUGUGCCCUCCUAAUGUCCUCCAAGAUACCUUAAAAUUGCUGCUAAGAAUUCUCAAAUCUCCCGGGUGCAGGAAAAUACCAGUGCUAGUUAACAGUCAAGAUGAUGUCGUCACAUCUGCAACCAACUUUAGCUCAGAAAGAGUUUGUCCAAUCUUCCAAGUGUCAAAUGUUACUGGUGAGAAUCUGGAUUAUCUGAAGAUGUUCCUGAACCUCCUGACAACUAGAAUGAAAUGCGAUGAGAGUGAUCCAGCUGAGUUCCAAAUAGAUGACACUUACUCUGUUCCAGGUGUUGGCACUGUGGUCUCAGGGACAACUUUAAAAGGUGUAAUACGUGUGAAUGAUACAUUACUGCUAGGCCCAGAUCCACUUGGUCAGUUCCAGUCAGUGAUUGUGAAGAGUAUACACCGUAAGAGAAUGCCCGUUAAGGUGGUUAAGGCUGGGCAAACCGCCUCCUUUGCUCUUAAGAAGCAAAUUAAGCGGUCCCAUGUACGUAAAGGAAUGGUGAUGGUCUCACCACGUAUGAAACCUGAGGCAUGCUGGGAAUUUGAGGGUGAAAUUCUCGUCCUGCAUCAUCCAACAACGAUUAGUGCACGGUAUCAAGCUAUGGUACAUUGUGGGAGUAUACGGCAAACUGCUUCAAUAAUUUACAUGAACAAGGAACAUUUAAGAACAGGUGAUAAGGCCAUUGUUCAUUUCCGCUUCAUAAAGAACCCAGAGUUUAUUCAUGCGGACACUAGAAUGGUUUUCAGGGAAGGAAAGACCAAAGCUGUUGGUAGGAUAGUAAAAGUGUUCCCCCAUCUGCCGCCAAUGGAGCAGAAACAGAAACAAAAGGCCGGGCGAGGUCGAGGUCACCACAAUCACCAUCACCAUGGUACCCGCGGACAAGGAUCUAGUCAAAACGUCAGUGAUGGAUUGCCAUUAGGACAGACCAGUCCACAAUACUAUGCUCCAACUUACAGAGGGCAAGGUAGACGAGGAGGUGGAAGGCGAAGCAGGAAUCGUAAGGCCAAAGAUUCUCAAGAAGAAAGUGUUGGCCAGGAUGUAGGCCCACAUCAGUCAAGCAUUGCAGCGCCAACGUCAUAAAAUAUUUUUGGACUUUUAAAAAAGAAAAGUUGAGCAAUUUUUUGAACUUGUAAAAGCUAACAUUUGUGGAAAAAUCUCAAUUUUCGGAUGGAAACAUGAGAUUUUCAACAUUUUUAUAUCAAGUUGUUGGUAUUUGAUUAUUGUGGUGUGAACUGUCCAUUACAGAAAUGGAAGAUGUUUGUUGAACUUUCUGUGUUGAGAAUCUGCAAUCAGUAUUAGGAUUAAAAUUAAUAUAAUACUUACAUUCGUUGAAACUUCGAUGUUUUUCCCGUUUUUUUUAUAUUAUGGUUUAAACAUGUUUUAAAUUAAAGUAACAUUUUGACACUUAUCUUCAGGUUUUAGAUUUGUUAAAACUCUUUUGUUUUUGUUUAAGACAGGCAAUAAAUGUUGGUAGCUGUAAUUGGUUGAACAGGUGUUGGUUGCCAGGCAAUAAAUGUUGGUAGCUGUAAUUGGUUGAACAGGUGUUGGUUGCCUGUGCUCUUGGCAGAUUGGGCUUGAGGAUAAGUUUUACUUAAUUGGAACUUCUGUAAACUUAAUUUUUUUAGUGUCUCCAUAGUUUUAUUCACCAUUUGUUCUACUAACAUGAACGACAAGUUUUACCAUUUAUUUAUAAUGAAUAUUAUAAUUAUUUGAUUGCGAUUUUAUAUUAAUGACCAUAAUUAAAAUUGUGUACAUUUCAUGAAAUUUAACAAAAAUAAAUGAUUAUUAAAUUUAUUCUGCAAGCAUUUUUUUUUCAUUGAUUUGUAAUCAAACUAUAAAUUUUACUCUAUCCUUGUGUCUAUAAAAACUGUCAUUCAUUCAUUUUUAUACACAUCAGCCAAUGGCGGGUGGGGUGGUAGAAAACAUACAGCAUUUGUUAUAGUGAAAAUUGUACUUUGCUAAUGAAUAUUCAUAGAUUGUCUACAAUAAUUGUGCUUCUGGAUGAUUAGGUUGACAAGUUAUAUCUGCCAUAUUAAUAUAAAUCUGGAUGUACAGUAUUAUAAGCCAAGUAUGGACAGUGACUAUCAUAUCUGCAUGUCUGUUAUGAAUAUUCAUAACAUAUAUUUAAAUGUUUAACACAUGCUUUUUAACCCUAAUUAAAUAUUCAAAACAUGUCUACUUGAAUAUUCUCAUGUCUCAUUGCAUUUAAUUUCCUACACAUUGUGUUGCAUUUCACAUUUAUAAUAUGUUUUAUUAACUAUUCAUGUUUAUAAUACACCUUAAUAGAUCUUUGUCAUUUGAUGGAUUUCACUCAUUGUGGAAAUUUAGUUCCACUGUGCAUUUGUAGUUCCAUCCCUGUAUUUUUUUAUCCAUCUGUUUUGUUCCAUUGCACGCCUCAACCCAAUGCAAUCUUUUCAUUUGUUCAAAAGAUGCUGGACUCUUCCAUUCCGAAAAAAGUUAGAUAUUUUUCAUAAAAUAUCAAAUUACAAGAAUCUGUUUUAGGUGUGUUAUAAAUUCAGUCGAUGGAAAGAAUAUUUUUUUUAAUGAUUUCAUACAUUACAAAUUCUUGACUACCUUAUGAAUAUUUAUUUGUUAAUACAAAGCUAGUUGAAUAUUCAUGAGAAAUUAUAUUGUUCAUAUGAAGUGCCACUGGGCAUCUCAUUGACCAUGAAUAUUCUUGUUACCCCAGUAGGUUCCUAUCGUGUGUGUGGAUUUAUUUUUGUACACAAGAUUUUGGUAUAUAAUGUGUUAACACAAUAAGUGCUAACAAAUCAAAGAUAUAUUGUCAUCUAUUAAUGUUUUGAUCUUAUAAUAAUAUUUGGUAUUUUGACACACGUUUGAAUACACAUUUUAAAACAAUUUAAACUGUACAGCUAAUGUUAAUAGACCUGAUACAAUUAAAAUUUAAAUGCUGUGAAAUGUAUUUGUCAUGUGUUAUUAUAUUAUAUGAAUGUAACUUGCAAUAAAAUUGACAAUUUUGUACAUUUCUGUGAUAUAGAGAGGGUGCUCUUCAAUUUUAACAUCUUUGCAAGAGGGCGCACUGUAUUGUUACUUUACUAUCUUUUAAUCUCAUACUGAGUUGAAAAUAACCACGGAAAGAUUCAAUCUCAAUAUAUUUGGUAUCAUACGAUAGUUAAUACAAAAAAUACUAAGCUAACAACAUUUUCGUCUUAUACGUUCUCAAAAACUGACCACAUACAAAAUAAAACACCUAUAAAGAUUUCAGACAUCCAUUUUGUAUUUCGUAGUAUAACAGUAUGUCAAAGGAUUUAUUGGUAUCUUGUGUAUUAAGUGCAAAAUUUGACCCAAAAAAAAAAA